UCGGUCAAAUUCAUUUUCUUUAGUCAUACUGGUUCCGAUAUCACGAAAUCAUGAGGACCUUUGCUCUUUUAGUGAUUUUUGGUUGCGUUCUUCUCACUGCAAAUGUUCUAUCUCUAAAAUAUGUAACUGUUGAACCAACGACAGAAGAGAUCGAGGAUGAUUUUGAUGACGAUGAAGAUGAACCUAUUAAUGGUGGAAUGGGUACUAGUGUGGAUACAGAUGAAGUGAAUACUCUUGUGAAAGAUACGAUAGAUUCAUUUAAUGUUACGGUUGGUUAUAAAGAAAAAGAUGACGAUGAGUAUGAAAAGGCAAAGUGCUCAAAGAAAUGCAGGGACACAGCCAUGAAGUAUAUAACGAAAGGUGAAGUCGGCAAAUACUAUAAUUCUCUUGUAACGUGUAUGAAGACAUAAAAAGAAAGGAGCAUUAUCCAUUCUCAAUGCAUCCAAAAAGAUGUGUAUCAAAAAAAUGCUUUAUGUCUGUGUCGCAGUGCAUUAUGACGCAAGGAUCUCCUAAAGAAUGUGGAGCAAGCUAAACUCUGCAUAAAUGAUUGUCGGCAGAACUUCACUGCGAACAACACUCUUGGCAUGACUUGUAUGCAUAACUGUACCGAUGAAUUGAUAAACUGCUUAAAUAGUACGGAAGAUUUCUCUACGUGUUUUCAAAAGAUGCCUUUUUGCGUCAUGAAAUGCAAGAGCGAUUCUUAUCCCAUGAGUUCCGUUUCGCCAUUCAAAGAAUGUAUGGUAGAUUGCACAGAAUCGUUUAUUAAAUGCUUGAAGAGCAGCAAAGAUAAAGACACAUGCUAUAAAACGUAUGAAUCAUGUUUCAUGAAAUGCAAGAAGAAACAUUUACCAAAUAUAAGCAAAGCUGUCGAAUGCAAGAAAAAAUGCGGAGAAGCAUUUGCCGAAUGCUUGGAAAGCAGCGGAGGAGUGUACAAGUGUUUUGAUGUUUUGGUAUCAUGCACCAAGAACUGCAAGGACCAACAUUUGAAAAGUUCAACAAAUUUUUCAAGUGUAUGAAAACAUGUAACCUCAAUAUGAAAGGUUUCAAGUGUCGCCUAAGAUUACUUAAUCCUAACGACGUAAAAUUUCAGUGCUUGAGACAAUGCAAGAUACAAGGUGUUCCAUUCGUUUCAAGCUUAAAACAAAUGGGAUCUGGGCUCUUUUCACAGCUGAAGAAUCUUGUUUUGGACGUGCAAAUCUGUCACCAAACUCAAAGUCACCUGGAUUUAAAUGGCCGAACAAGUACCAAAAGUAUCCUAAGUUUUCAGGACAAUCACGACAUCGUUCCUCCAAGUUUUAAGACAUGGCCACGUCAUUCCCCACUUUUCCUCGAAGAAUGCCAAAGCGUUUCUCUAAAUUCCGAAAAAUAGCAAGGAAAUGGCAACGAAAAAAUGGAGCAGCAUCCAUACUGGGUUAAAUGUUCCAGAGCACUUUGUUUUACUAAAUUACUUUUGGAGAUAUAUGGUACAGUCAGAAUUAUUAACAAUAAUCAGGUUAUUGCAUGAUUGGAAUUAAUUUGGGAAUAUAUAGACAGUCAAUGUAUUCUUAAUUAAUUUAAUUACUCAGAUGUUGAAAUUAUCACUAAAAUAAAAUAUAUUUUUAUAUGUUUUGCCUAAA
Xenia sp. Carnegie-2017 is the source of this 1616-nucleotide long non-coding RNA. RefSeq lists it as uncharacterized. Lineage: Eukaryota; Metazoa; Cnidaria; Anthozoa; Malacalcyonacea; Xeniidae. The transcript is spliced from 16 exons. The record is from RefSeq and is a predicted model, not a curated record.